RNAcentral lists this ribosomal RNA (253 nucleotides) under uncultured bacterium. Its description in RNAcentral is "partial 16S ribosomal RNA". It matches the Rfam family "Bacterial small subunit ribosomal RNA", at positions 524 to 776 of the family's 1533-position model. The record is from RNAcentral.
UACAGAGGGUGCAAGCGUUAUUCGGAAUUAUUGGGCGUAAAGCGCAUGUAGGUUGUUUGAUAAGUCUGAUGUGAAAUCCCCGGACUCAAUUCGGGAAGUGCAUUGGAUACUGUCAGACUAGAGUAUGGGAGAGGUAAGCGGAAUUCCAGGUGUAGAGGUGAAAUUCGUAGAUAUCUGGAGGAACAACAGAGGCGAAGGCGGCUUACUGGACCAUUACUGACACUGAGAUGCGAAAGCGUGGGGAGCAAACAGG